AGUCUAAGGGUGUGAAGAGAGCAUCCCCCGGUGCAAACGGGGGGGUCGGAUGUGCAUUUCCUCCGUUAGGUCA
RNAcentral lists this transfer RNA (73 nucleotides) under Myadora brevis. RNAcentral's name for it is "tRNA-Cys". The record is from RNAcentral. Lineage: Eukaryota; Metazoa; Mollusca; Bivalvia; Myochamidae.